This 791-nucleotide ribosomal RNA is filed under the name uncultured bacterium. RNAcentral's name for it is "bacterial SSU rRNA". It matches the Rfam family "Bacterial small subunit ribosomal RNA", at positions 8 to 798 of the family's 1533-position model. The record is from RNAcentral.
AGAGUUUGAUCAUGGCUCAGGAUGAACGCUAGCGGCAGGCUUAACACAUGCAAGUCGAGGGGUAGAGGUUGCUUGCAACCUUGAGACCGGCGCACGGGUGCGUAACGCGUAUGCAACCUACCUUUUACAGAGGGAUAGCCCAGAGAAAUUUGGAUUAAUACCUCAUAGUAUAUAUCUUUCGCAUGUUAGGUAUAUUAAAGUUCCAACGGUAAAAGGUGGGCAUGCGUCCUAUUAGCUAGAUGGUAAGGUAACGGCUUACCAUGGCUACGAUAGGUAGGGGUCCUGAGAGGGAGAUCCCCCACACUGGUACUGAGACACGGACCAGACUCCUACGGGAGGCAGCAGUGAGGAAUAUUGGACAAUGGGCGCAAGCCUGAUCCAGCCAUGCCGCGUGCAGGAAGAAGCAUCUAUGGUGUGUAAACUGCUUUUGUACAGGAAGAAACAUCCCGACGUGUCGGGACUUGACGGUACUGUAAGAAUAAGGAUCGGCUAACUCCGUGCCAGCAGCCGCGGUAAUACGGAGGAUCCAAGCGUUAUCCGGAAUCAUUGGGUUUAAAGGGUCCGUAGGCGGUUUGGUAAGUCAGUGGUGAAAGCCCGCAGCUCAACUGUGGAACGGCCAUUGAUACUGCCAGACUUGAAUUACAAGGAAGUAACUAGAAUAUGUAGUGUAGCGGUGAAAUGCUUAGAUAUUACAUGGAAUACCAAUUGCGAAGGCAGGUUACUACUUGUGGAUUGACGCUGAUGGACGAAAGCGUGGGGAGCGAACAGGAUUAGAUACCCCGGUAGUCCAA